Long non-coding RNA from Vicia villosa (hairy vetch), 605 nucleotides. RefSeq lists it as uncharacterized. The transcript has 3 exons. Lineage: Eukaryota; Viridiplantae; Streptophyta; Magnoliopsida; Fabales; Fabaceae. The record is from RefSeq and is a predicted model, not a curated record.
CCUCAAGGUUCAUAAAAAUUAAUGACCUCUUAUCUGCAAUUGGCUCAUACAUGAAAAAUUAAUGACCUCUUCUACUCAAUUGGCUCAUAUAUGAAUUAAUGACCUCUUAUCUUCAUAAAAAUUUAAGGAGAUAUAGUAUGGCUGAAAUUCUAAAAACUGUUUAUGCUUUCUUCAUACUGUCAUUCCUAAUUCUUGUGGCAACCAUCCAUAGUUUUUGCCCAUGUGAAACUAACGAGGAUUGUGCAUGUGAAGUAUGUCCUGAUCAUAACAAAAACGCGUCGUGCAUUUGGAAAGGAUGUUACUGCCGUCAAGAGUACCUAUUACAUUAAAGACAUGUUAUAGUGUUUCUUUUUUAGGUUAAGACAUGUUAUAGUGUUUCUACUGCUAUGAAAUUUCUCUCAUCUUGACUCAUGUUUAUUAAUUAGUCGAUAUUUUAGGCUUAAGUUGAAGAUCAAUCCAAGCUUCUUGUACUGAAUUUUCCGCUGCACAACCCAAAACCAAAUACAUUAGAUUUUUAACAUUCAUGUAUAUACUAUAUUUCUUAUGAAGAUAUCAAAACUUGAUUUUAAACAUGGAUAAAAACAUAAAAAAGGGGAUUUAAAUUG